This 346-nucleotide unclassified non-coding RNA is filed under the name soil metagenome. RNAcentral's name for it is "partial contains 5.8S ribosomal RNA, internal transcribed spacer 2, and large subunit ribosomal RNA". The stretch from base 1 to 120 matches the Rfam family "5.8S ribosomal RNA", at positions 35 to 154 of the family's 154-position model. The record is from RNAcentral.
GAUGAAGAACGCAGCGAAAUGCGAUAAGUAGUGUGAAUUGCAGAAUUCCGUGAAUCAUCGAGUCUUUGAACGCACAUUGCGCCCCCUGGUAUUCCGGGGGGCAUGCCUGUCCGAGCGUCAUUGCUGCCCUCAAGCACGGCUUGUGUGUUGGGCCCCGUCCUCCGAUCCCGGGGGACGGGCCCGAAAGGCAGCGGCGGCACCGCGUCCGGUCCUCGAGCGUAUGGGGCUUUGUCACCCGCUCUGUAGGCCCGGCCGGCGCUUGCCGAUCAACCCAAAUUUUUAUCCAGGUUGACCUCGGAUCAGGUAGGGAUACCCGCUGAACUUAAGCAUAUCAAUAAGCGGAGGA